This 497-nucleotide ribosomal RNA is filed under the name uncultured bacterium. RNAcentral's name for it is "partial 16S ribosomal RNA". It matches the Rfam family "Bacterial small subunit ribosomal RNA", at positions 28 to 507 of the family's 1533-position model. The record is from RNAcentral.
GACGAACGCUGGCGGCGUGCCUAAUACAUGCAAGUUGAGCGCUGAAGGUUGGUACUUGUACCAACUGGAUGAGCAGCGAACGGGUGAGUAACGCGUGGGGAAUCUGCCUUUGAGCGGGGGACAACAUUUGGAAACGAAUGCUAAUACCGCAUAAAAACUUUAAACACAAGUUUUAAGUUUGAAAGAUGCAAUUGCAUCACUCAAAGAUGAUCCCGCGUUGUAUUAGCUAGUUGGUGAGGUAAAGGCUCACCAAGGCGAUUAUACAUAGCCGACCUGAGAGGGUGAUCGGCCACAUUGGGACUGAGACACGGCCCAAACUCCUACGGGAGGCAGCAGUAGGGAAUCUUCGGCAAUGGACGAAAGUCUGACCGAGCAACGCCGCGUGAGUGAAGAAGGUUUUCGGAUCGUAAAACUCUGUUGGUAGAGAAGAACGUUGGUGAGAGUGGAAAGCUCAUCAAGUGACGGUAACUACCCAGAAAGGGACGGCUAACUACGUG